UACGUAGGGUGCAAGCGUUAAUCGGAAUUACUGGGCGUAAAGCGUGCGCAGGCGGUUUUGUAAGUCUGACGUGAAAUCCCCGGGCUUAACCUGGGAAUGGCGUUGGAGACUGCAAGGCUGGAAUCUGGCAGAGGGGGCUAGAAUUCCACGUGUAGCAGUGAAAUGCGUAGAGAUGUGGAGGAACACCGAUGGCGAAGGCAGCCCCCUGGGCUAAGAUUGACGCUCAUGCACGAAAGCGUGGGGAGCAAACAGG
Molecule: ribosomal RNA, 253 nt
Filed under: uncultured bacterium
Lineage: Bacteria
Description: partial 16S ribosomal RNA
Rfam family: Bacterial small subunit ribosomal RNA
Source: RNAcentral